This 309-nucleotide ribosomal RNA is filed under the name Babesia bovis. RNAcentral's name for it is "SSU rRNA". It matches the Rfam family "Eukaryotic small subunit ribosomal RNA", at positions 1334 to 1668 of the family's 1831-position model. The record is from RNAcentral. Lineage: Eukaryota; Apicomplexa; Aconoidasida; Piroplasmida; Babesiidae.
AACGAGACCUUAACCUGCUAUUUAGUCGCUCGGUCUCCGUCCGUGCGCACUUCAUAGAGGGACUCUGCGGCGUCAAGCUGCGGUGAGGUUUAAGGCAAUAACAGGUCUGUGGUGCCCUUAGAUGUCCUGGGCUGCACGCGCGCUACACUGAUGCUUGCCUCGUGUUUACCCUCGGCCGAUAGGCCCUGGUAACCCCUAGUCUGCAUCGUGUUUGGGAUUGAUCUUUGCAAUUCUAGAUCAUGAACGAGGAAUGCCUAGUAUGCGCAAGUCAUCAGCUUGUGCAGAUUACGUCCCUGCCCUUUGUACACA